UGAACUUAAGCAUAUCAA
RNAcentral lists this ribosomal RNA (18 nucleotides) under Rhizoctonia sp. AG-G. RNAcentral describes it as "partial 28S ribosomal RNA". The record is from RNAcentral. RNAcentral also lists the same sequence under 1 other name. Lineage: Eukaryota; Fungi; Basidiomycota; Agaricomycetes; Cantharellales; Ceratobasidiaceae.